Molecule: ribosomal RNA, 86 nt
Filed under: Cytophagales bacterium
Lineage: Bacteria; Pseudomonadati; Bacteroidota; Cytophagia; Cytophagales
Source: RNAcentral
CCUCUUCCCAUUCCGAACAGAGUAGUUAAGCCGCCCAGCGCCGAUGGUACUGCCUUCACCGGUGGAAGAGUAGGUCCCCGCCAACC